CAGAGGUUACACAUCCAUCAAAUAUGCCUUGAUCUCCAAAGAGGUGCUGCAAACUUUCACUUGAGAUAUCACUUGGAAGCACUGCUUCUUUAAGAUUUUUGCUGAUGGGAUAAACUACCCUCGUAACACAGUGGAGGAUGAGGCUGCCUAAAUUGGAAUACUCAAGUAAAAUACAGAUCCCCCCUGAAGACAGCUUCCCAUCACUGGAUGCCCAGUUUCACCCUAAGGCCAUCCUUUGCUGGGCCAUGACUUCUCUUACUGACAGAAUAGUUUUCACUAAUAGUAAUGUGAUCAGUCAGUGCACAGAGGGGACCGAGGCUGCCCCUGUCCCAAAUGAGACAUCAUAUCACACACACUCUCCGUCACUUCUCUUUCACUGAGUCAACAAGGUGUAACCACUCCGGCCAUCACCCAAGACAAGACUGUGGUGCAAGAAAACCAAUGUUGUUUUUUAUGGGGUGACCUACAAAAGCUGUGUCUCGCAAAGAAGAUAUCCAAGGAACACAAUCUUUAAGAUUAUAUAAACAUCAAUGAGUUUGAAUCAAUCAUAAAUAAAUGAUGUGACAUCUCAGGGGAAAAUCAGACACUUGCCAUAUACUGUAUGCUAACAACAAAUAGCAUUGCUGUAGAGCAGGGGUAGGCAACUCCAGGGCUUGAGUGCCGGUGUCCUGCAGGUUUUAGAUCGCACCCUGGGUUAACACACCUGAAUCAAAUGAUUAGCUCAUUACCAGGCCUCUGGAGAACUUCAAGAAAUGCUGAAGAGUCAUUUAGCCCUUUAAAUCAGCUGUGAUGGAUCAUGGACACAUCUAAAAUCUCCAGGACAGCAGCACUCGAGGCCUGGAGUUGCCUACCCCUGCUGUAGAGGUUCCCCGUGUAUCUUAUCUUGUGUUACUUAUCCUGCAUUUUGGGUCCAGAGUGGAAAGAGUUGAAGGAGAUUUGAAGGAGGAGCUUGGCCAUUUGUUAUUGUUUUUGGGAGAUUUCAUGCUGCUGUAUAGUAACUUCUCACAGACUAGUGCAUAUCAGACCUAAAUAGCAGAGGCACCAGUUGCUAUAAAUAUACAAAUAUAGAGCAAGACUGGAGGAACAGAAUGAGAACACAAAAGGGAAUUAACUAAAUUAAUCCAAGGAACACAGAACCCAAACUCAAAGAUAACCAAAAAUAGAAUGUUUGAAUGAAUUUCAUAAAACAUAAAAACCCCAAAAGCGUGGGUAUAAAAUCCAACGAUCAUGGCAAGCAGCCAUGUAACAGCUAGCUCAUCUGUGCACUGUGUGCACUGACCCUCACGUACAUAACCAGCAUUCCCUCUAUAGCUGUUGGUGUUUUGGUUCCCUAGGACUGACAUGUGCAAAAUAUUAUCACUCUUUCCUCACAGCAAGAACCCAGGGCCUUUCUGUGUGUUUCUGUGUCAAGUUUGCAUGUUCUCCUCAUGUUUCUGUGGUAUUCCAUGGGGGAAAACCCACACAUCCAAGGACUUUCAAGUCUAGAGUAAAUUCUCUUGUCACUGUUUUUGACCAAUGACCUAUUGUACAGCUGGAGUUAUUCCCCUGGCACAGCACAAAGGCUUCACAUUUUUCCUAGUGCUUAUUAUAUGUUUAAUGGAAACAAAGGAUAUUUGGUCCCGUUCUAUUUUAUCAUUCUAUUUGUCAUUUCAGAAUUUAAACUCUUUUUUGAGUUUGGUUAAGUGGUACAGCUAAUGUUUAAAAGUCCUGUGACUGGACGUUUUAAGAAGUCUAUAUUCCAUUUUUUAAAGGCAGACUGGCCUUCAUAUGAGAUACUGUGUGAGUAAGAAAAUCUUUCAGCUAUGAUAAACACAGCACAGUGUGAUGAAUCAAGAGGUUUCAGUGUGGAGGGUGAAGCAUAUGCAGUGUGUAGGAGUUUUUAGUGCAUAUUAGAAUUAGCAGUACUGAAGAAUAAUGGGUGUAUUAGUGGGAGGUAUUUAAGUAACAAAAGGCCAUGCAGGUGUAGUAGGCCUCCUCAACCAAGAAAACCUGAUUCGACUGAAAGAUAUCUAUGUAUUUGUUUAUACUCGUGGUAUAUUUACUGCACAACAAACCUUAUUUGUUGUGGCUAAUGUAGUAUGAUUUUCUCCAUCAGGAUAAGUUGUAAAUGCAAUAGUGCCCCAGACUGUGCUGCAUAAAACCAUGAAUGGAAACUAAGUAAGAACAUGUAAAUUCUGCAGAGGUCCAAUUUGCUUUCUGUUAUGAAUGCAGGUAACAGUAAACAAGAAAAGGCAAAAGAAGCAAUACAAGUAUGAGUGUUUCAGGAAACUUCUUGUAAGUGCCUGGAAGAAAUUGAAUAUAAAUGAAAUGAAAUGAAAUACGUGCAUUUUCCAGUGAGCGAGCAAGUUAAGCUUAAUACUCUGUAAUCAUCUGAUAGCAGUAGAAAUCUCCACAGCUGUGUUGAAGUUCCUGAGUGUGUCUGAGAUCUUGUUGCUUUUCAGCAUCCCCCUGAAUGAGAGACCCUUCAUCAACCAAAGUGUGACUCCACUGGGUCGUGGAACCGCACCAAUUUAAUAUCAGUUGGAAAAAAGUGGACAUAUGUACAUGGAUGUGUUAGAAAAUGCUAGAAAAUAUCCACCUAUAAGCACAGCUAAAGCUCAGUAAAUUCCUCCUGUUCUGAGGCAUGAUUAUCUGAAUACGUGUGUGCUGGCUGUAGGUUGAGAGACCGAAGUGACAAAUCUUGCCAAGAAAGCAAAUAAGCGCAUUUUCAAAAGGAAAAAAAA
This is a long non-coding RNA of Oreochromis niloticus (Nile tilapia), 2723 nucleotides long. RefSeq lists it as uncharacterized. The record is from RefSeq and is a predicted model, not a curated record. The transcript is spliced from 2 exons. Lineage: Eukaryota; Metazoa; Chordata; Actinopteri; Cichliformes; Cichlidae.